Molecule: transfer RNA, 72 nt
Filed under: Ovis aries (sheep)
Lineage: Eukaryota; Metazoa; Chordata; Mammalia; Artiodactyla; Bovidae
Rfam family: tRNA
About the family: Transfer RNA (tRNA) molecules are approximately 80 nucleotides in length. Their secondary structure includes four short double-helical elements and three loops (D, anti-codon, and T loops). Further hydrogen bonds mediate the characteristic L-shaped molecular structure. tRNAs have two regions of fundamental functional importance: the anti-codon, which is responsible for specific mRNA codon recognition, and the 3' end, to which the tRNAs corresponding amino acid is attached (by aminoacyl-tRNA synthetases). tRNAs cope with the degeneracy of the genetic code in two manners: having more than one tRNA (with a specific anti-codon) for a particular amino acid; and 'wobble' base-pairing, i.e. permitting non-standard base-pairing at the 3rd anti-codon position.
Source: Rfam by way of RNAcentral
UCCCUGGUGGCUCAGAUGGUAAAGAAUCUGCCUGCAAUGCAGGAGAGCCAGGUUCAAUCCCUGGGUUGGGAA